AACGCACAUUGCGCCCUUUGGUAUUCCGGAGGGCAUGCCUGUUUGAGAACCCUGACGUACCUCGCAAACCCCCCUUGUUGCUAACGCGACUGGGUGUGGGUCUUUGCGGAUUUGGGCUAUCUUCCUCAACCUCUUGACGAGGGUGGGGUGGCCAGAAAUUAAAGAUCGGCCGAUCGGCGGGAGUUCUAGCACUUCCACCUCUGUCCAUAACCAAGACGUGUUAGUAUGGGAAACCAUUACGGCGUCGACGACCUUGGAACGUGGAGACUUGUGCUUGCUCGCCAGCUGGACGACUCAACCAUCCAGUCAGGCGCUCUGAACCCGUCACCGGGCUAAGGGCGUAGACCUGAACAACAACCGGUCUCAAAUCAGGCAAGACCACCCGCUGAACUUAA
This 395-nucleotide unclassified non-coding RNA is filed under the name uncultured fungus. Its description in RNAcentral is "partial contains 5.8S ribosomal RNA, internal transcribed spacer 2, and large subunit ribosomal RNA". Lineage: Eukaryota; Fungi. The record is from RNAcentral.